GCAAUGCCCGCACUUCCGGACCCCAGACUCUUCCUACGGCGACUGACACCUCAGACACGCGUUGUGGGGGGCGGCGCUCUGGCUCCGGGGCUGUGCCCAGCGCGAGCGUGGCCGGCACCCACUUGCUGCAGAGCCGGCACUGCACUGGGGUUCUUGGGGGCGGCUCCUCCAGACGUCUCUGCGGGUUGUCGGGUGCUGCCGAGUUGGGUUGGGGGACGCUACAGGUAGUGGGUCCGGAGCAGCGGCUGGCCCCUCAUCUCACUGCCCUUCCUCGGACCCCACCGUCCUCUGGAAGCUUGUGCAGGGCACCUGCCACUGUGACCACCUGGACGCAGAUACCUGCUUUCCCACAACAGCAAGGAAGAACCAUGGCCCAGGGGUCACUGUCAUUCGGGGACGUGGCUGUGGGCUUCACCCGGAAAGAGUGGCAGCAGCUGGACCUGGAGCAGAGGACCCUGUACCAGGAUGUGAUGCUGGAGAACUACAGCCACCUGCUCUCUGUGGGCUGAACUGUCUGCUUGCUUGGAAGGCCCAGCUGGCUCAGCACAAAUCCUUUAACCGUUUCUCCCCAAGAGGGUGUCAAGUCAGCAAACCAGCUGUGAUCUCCAGUUUGGAGCAGGGGAAGGAGCCAUGGAUGGAGGAGGAAGAGAUAAGGACGUGGAGCUUCCCAGAAGAAGUUUGGCAAGUUGCUACCCAGCCAGAUAGCCAACAGCAACACGAAGACCAACAUUUGAGCCAUACGUUUCUAGACAAGAAAGACUGGACCGGAAAUGAGCUUCAUGAAUGUAACGAACUUGGAAAAAAACUCCAUCAGAACCCAAACCUCCUUCCAUCAAAACAGCAGGUCCGCACACGUGACUUGUGCAGAAAGAGUUUGAUGUGUAACCUGGACUUCACUCCUAACGCCUACCUGGCGAGGAGGAGAUUUCAGUGCGACGGCCACGGAAACUUCUUCUCUGUUCGAAACUUGAAACUCCACCUUCAGGAGCGAAUCCACGCGGAGGUCACCAGUGUGGAAGUGCUUUAAGCUGUGACGAGGGAGUUCCUGCAGCUCAGGGAGCCAGUAGUGAGAAACCCCACGAAUGCACGAAGUGUGGGAAAGCCUUGUGCUGCAGAUCGGACCUCAGGGUACAUCACGGGGUCCACGCGGGGGAGAAGUCCUCUGCGUGCAGUGAACGGGGGAGUGGUUUCAGGGAGAAGCUUUGCCCUGACAAACAGGGAACUCACACAAAGGAGAAACCCGCUAGAGACAGCAGAAGUGGUAAAACGAUCUUCCGGAAGACACGCCUGUGUGUCCCGGGCACAGUUCACGCCGGAGCGAAGCCUUACAAGUGUUGGGAGUGUGAGAAAACCUCCCACAAGUCGCGCCUCAUCGAGCACCUUCGCUCCCACACGGGGGAGAAGCCCUGCGGCUGCAGGGAAUGCGGAAAGGCCUUUUUCCAGAAGUCACACCUCAUCCUGCGUCAGAGGACUCACACGGGGGAGAAGCCCUGCGACUGCGCGGAGUGCGGGAAAGCUGCUCCCAGGACUCCUGCCUCCUGACCCACAGGCGGACUCGCGGGGAAGAAACCGUACGAGUGCUCCGACUGCGGGAAGACCUCCCGGAAGGCGAACCUCAUCCGCCACCACGGGAUCCACACGAGGGAGAAGCUGCAUGGGUGAAGAGACCGUGGGAUCGUCACAAAGUCACAUCACGAGGUCGCCGAACCUCUAGGAGGGACAUCGCCAGGGAAACAGCCCUCAACCAAAACUACGACGCCACCCUAGGCAGAGGUCCCAUAUCGGGGUGAAAUUCGGCCACUUUGGUGGCUUAAGGAAGGCAUGGUCAGCUGGGCGCUGUGGCUCACGCCUGUAAUCCCAGCGCUUUGGGACGCCGAGGCGAGUGGAUCACCUGAGGUCAGGAGUUCAAGACCAGUCUGGCCAACAUGGUGAAAGCUCGGCUCUACUAAAAGUACAAAAAAUUAGCCGGGAAUUGUGGCAGGCGCCUGUAAUUCCAGCUACUCGGGAGGCUGAGGCAGGAGAAUCGGUUGAACCUGGGAGGCGGAGAUUGCAGUGAGUCGAGGUCGCACCACUGCACUCCAGCUUGGGUGACAGAGUGAGACUCAGUCUCAAAAACAAACAACAAAAAAGCAUGGUCUGUUAAAACUAACGACGGAAGGGUAAUGGUAUGCUAGAGUGAUCUAUUUUCGUAGGUGUACUUUUUUUUUUUGAGACGGAGUCCUCGUUCUAUCGCCCAGUCUGGAGGGCAGUGGUGCCAUCUCGGCUCACUGCAGCCUCUGCCUCCCGGGUUCAUGUGAUUCUCUUGUUUCAGCCUCCCGAGUAGCUGGUAUUACAG
RNAcentral lists this long non-coding RNA (2335 nucleotides) under Homo sapiens (human). RNAcentral's name for it is "non-protein coding lnc-OCM-3:4". Lineage: Eukaryota; Metazoa; Chordata; Mammalia; Primates; Hominidae. The record is from RNAcentral.